This 402-nucleotide ribosomal RNA is filed under the name uncultured bacterium. Its description in RNAcentral is "bacterial SSU rRNA". It matches the Rfam family "Bacterial small subunit ribosomal RNA", at positions 355 to 774 of the family's 1533-position model. The record is from RNAcentral.
UAGGGAAUAUUGGUAAUGUGCGAAAGCGCGAACCAGCAACGCCGCGUGCACGAUGAAGGCCUUCGGGUUGUAAGGUGCUUUUAGAGAGGAUGAGGAAGGACAGUACUUUCUGAAUAAGCCUCGGCUAACUACGUGCCAGCAGCCGCGGUAAAACGUAGGAGGCUAGCGUUAUCCGGAUUUACUGGGCGUAAAGCGCGUGCAGGUGGUUUCGUAAGUUGGAUGUGAAAGCUCCUGGCUUAACUGGGAGAGGUCGUUCAAAACUGCGAGGCUUGAGAGUGGUAGAGGGAGGUGGAAUUCCGGGUGUAGUGGUGAAAUGCGUAGAUAUCCGGAGGAACACCAGUGGCGAAAGCGGCCUCCUGGACCAUUUCUGACACUCGGACGCGAAAGCUAAGGUAGCAAACG